GCAAGUCGAACGGUAACAGGUCUUCGGAUGCUGACGAGUGGCGAACGGGUGAGUAAUACAUCGGAACGUGCCCGAUCGUGGGGGAUAACGGAGCGAAAGCUUUGCUAAUACCGCAUACGAUCUACGGAUGAAAGCAGGGGACCGCAAGGCCUUGCGCGGACGGAGCGGCCGAUGGCAGAUUAGGUAGUUGGUGGGAUAAAAGCUUACCAAGCCGACGAUCUGUAGCUGGUCUGAGAGGACGACCAGCCACACUGGGACUGAGGCACGGCCCAGACUCCUACGGGAGGCAGCAGUGGGGAAUUUUGGACAAUGGGCGCAAGCCUGAUCCAGCCAUGCCGCGUGCAGGAUGAAGGCCUUCGGGUUGUAAACUGCUUUUGUACGGAACGAAAAGACUCUGGUUAAUACCUGGGGUCCAUGACGGUACCGUAAGAAUAAGCACCGGCUAACUACGUGCCAGCAGCCGCGGUAAUACGUAGGGUGCAAGCGUUAAUCGGAAUUACUGGGCGUAAAGCGUGCGCAGGCGGUUAUGUAAGACAGAUGUGAAAUCCCCGGGCUCAACCUGGGAACUGCAUUUGUGACUGCAUAGCUAGAGUACGGCAGAGGGGGAUGGAAUUCCGCGUGUAGCAGUGAAAUGCGUAGAUAUGCGGAGGAACACCGAUGGCGAAGGCAAUCCCCUGGGCCUGUACUGACGCUCAUGCACGAAAGCGUGGGGAGCAAACAGGAUUAGAUACCCUGGUAGUCCACGCCCUAAACGAUGUCAACUGGUUGUUGGGAAUUCACUUUCUCAGUAACGAAGCUAACGCGU
Molecule: ribosomal RNA, 805 nt
Filed under: uncultured soil bacterium
Lineage: Bacteria
Description: bacterial SSU rRNA
Rfam family: Bacterial small subunit ribosomal RNA
Source: RNAcentral